GAUGCCUGCUGUUCUUCUAUCGUGUGUUUCCUCCCCUAGAAGUCAACUCCCGGGGCCCGUUUACUGUUUCGCUCCCAGAGUUCAGUUACUGCUGUGCUCUGCCUGAACAUAUGCGACACAAGGUAUCGAAGACAGCUGGAGAAUGAAUUCCCUUGGGCAGCAGAAUCUGGCAGAUCUUGUAUCCACCUAAUACGUUAACUAUCACCAAAAGAAGUAUUAAAAACCUGGUAUUUAUUUAA
Long non-coding RNA from Gymnogyps californianus (California condor), 239 nucleotides. RefSeq lists it as uncharacterized. The transcript has 2 exons. Lineage: Eukaryota; Metazoa; Chordata; Aves; Accipitriformes; Cathartidae. The record is from RefSeq and is a predicted model, not a curated record.